UACCACUGGAGGAAGCACCGGCUAACUCCGUGCCAGCAGCCGCGGUAAUACGGAGGGUGCAAGCGUUGUUCGGAAUUAUUGGGCGUAAAGGGCGUGUAGGCGGUUUGGUAAGUCAGAUGUGAAAUCCCUGGGCUCAACCCGGGAAGUGCAUUUGAAACUGCCUUUCUUGAGUAUGGGAGAGGAGAGUGGAAUUCCCGGUGUAGAGGUGAAAUUCGUAGAUAUUGGGAGGAACACCCGUGGCGAAGGCGACUCUCUGGACCAAUACUGACGCUGAGGCGCGAAAGCGUGGGGAGCAAACAGGAUUAGAUACCCUGGUAGUCCACGCCGUAAACGAUGANCACUAGGUGUUGNGGGUAUUGACCCCUGCUGUGCCGCAGCUAACGCAUUAAGU
Molecule: ribosomal RNA, 391 nt
Filed under: uncultured bacterium
Lineage: Bacteria
Description: bacterial SSU rRNA
Rfam family: Bacterial small subunit ribosomal RNA
Source: RNAcentral